Molecule: long non-coding RNA, 508 nt
Filed under: Equus asinus (donkey)
Lineage: Eukaryota; Metazoa; Chordata; Mammalia; Perissodactyla; Equidae
Description: lncRNA (ENSEASG00005031487.1)
Source: RNAcentral
CGCAGCGCGCUCCCGGGCCGGCGGUUCGGCCCCUGGCACCGCGCGCCCGCUGCCCACCGCCGGGCAUCACCGGACCAAGACGUUUCCCACAGCGGGCUGCAAGGCAGGGUAAACUUGGGAUGACAGUAAUCCCUCUUCUUAGGAAGAUGUCACUGUUUUCAGCGCAUUCCUGGCACAUAUCCCAGGAGAGCAGGACCUUGCUUGUCUUGGCCACUCGGGUCCCUGGUCUGGCACAGGGCCUGAUAGGAAUGCGUUGACAGAAAGAAUAAAAACGCCGAGUCGAGUGGGACUGCGGACUGGUACAGCCACGCUGGACGACGGUUUGCAGAUGUGCCUUUCGAGACGUCUCAUGUAAAUGGAAUCACACGAUAUGCAGCCGUCGGUGUCUAGCUGCUUCUACUCAGCACAGCGUUUUCAAGGUCCGUCCAUGUAGCACGCAUCAGUACCUCAUUCCUUUUUAUUAUGAUUAUAUUGUGCCAAAUUUAAUGUACUCCAUUUAAUUAUCCCG